RNAcentral lists this long non-coding RNA (297 nucleotides) under Serinus canaria (Common canary). Its description in RNAcentral is "lncRNA (ENSSCAG00000006215.1)". The record is from RNAcentral. Lineage: Eukaryota; Metazoa; Chordata; Aves; Passeriformes; Fringillidae.
GCCGCCACAGGCGGAGCCGCGCACGCGUGUCACAGCGGGACUACCUUGAAGAUCCACCCUGACCAUGCUGAGAUUUGGGCAGCACCUGAUCAAGCCCUCGGUGGUGUUCCUGAGGACAGAGCUGUGCUUUGCUCUGGUGAACCGCAGGCCGGUGGUGCCAGGCCGUAUCCUUUCCAUGGUGCUGCUCCCUAGGAAAGGCAGCACACUAUCAGGACACUUGGAAAGCCAGUUCCAACUUUCAGCCGGAAAAACACUCAUGGCUACUGUUCCUCUUGUGGAGUCGUGAACUGAUUUGUG